Molecule: ribosomal RNA, 474 nt
Filed under: uncultured bacterium
Lineage: Bacteria
Description: bacterial SSU rRNA
Rfam family: Bacterial small subunit ribosomal RNA
Source: RNAcentral
ACUCCUAGGGAGGCAGCAGUGGGGAAUAUUGCACAAUGGGCGCAAGCCUGAUGCAGCCAUGCCGCGUGUGUGAAGAAGGCCUUCGGGUUGUAAAGCACUUUCAGUCGUGAGGAAGGCGGCGUCGUUAAUAGCGGCGUUGUUUGACGUUAGCGACAGAAGAAGCACCGGCUAACUCCGUGCCAGCAGCCGCGGUAAUACGGAGGGGUGCGAGCGUUAAUCGGAAUUACUGGGGCGUAAAGCGCAUGCAGGUGGUUUGUUAAGUCAGAUGUGAAAGCCCGGGGGCUCAACCUCGGAAUAGCAUUUGAAACUGGCAGACUAGAGUACUGUAGAGGGGGUAGAAUUUCAGGUGUAGCGGUGAAAUGCGUAGAGAUCUGAAGGAAUACCGGUGGCGAAGGCGGCCCCCUGGACAGAUACUGACACUCAGAUGCGAAAGCGUGGGGAGCAAACAGGAUUAGAUACCCUGGUAGGACAGUG